AUUGAACGCUGGCGGCAGGCCUAACACAUGCAAGUCGAGCGGAUGAAGGGAGCUUGCUCCUGGAUUCAGCGGCGGACGGGUGAGUAAUGCCUAGGAAUCUGCCUGGUAGUGGGGGAUAACGUCCGGAAACGGGCGCUAAUACCGCAUACGUCCUGAGGGAGAAAGUGGGGGAUCUUCGGACCUCACGCUAUCAGAUGAGCCUAGGUCGGAUUAGCUAGUUGGUGGGGUAAAGGCCUACCAAGGCGACGAUCCGUAACUGGUCUGAGAGGCUGAUCAGUCACACUGGAACUGAGACACGGUCCAGACUCCUACGGGAGGCAGCAGUGGGGAAUAUUGGACAAUGGGCGAAAGCCUGAUCCAGCCAUGCCGCGUGUGUGAAGAAGGUCUUCGGAUUGUAAAGCACUUUAAGUUGGGAGGAAGGGUAGUAAGUUAAUACCUUGCUGUUUUGACGUUACCAACAGAAUAAGCACCGGCUAACUUCGUG
RNAcentral lists this ribosomal RNA (484 nucleotides) under uncultured bacterium. RNAcentral's name for it is "partial 16S ribosomal RNA". It matches the Rfam family "Bacterial small subunit ribosomal RNA", at positions 30 to 507 of the family's 1533-position model. The record is from RNAcentral.